Long non-coding RNA from Vicia villosa (hairy vetch), 1158 nucleotides. RefSeq lists it as uncharacterized. The record is from RefSeq and is a predicted model, not a curated record. NCBI's taxonomy places the organism in Eukaryota, Viridiplantae, Streptophyta, Magnoliopsida, Fabales, Fabaceae. The transcript has 5 exons.
GGUUCGAUGAUUUUUGCAGUGGAUUCGGUAAUGGUUUGUUGAUGAAGAUCGAAGCGUGAAUUGAAUGGUUGAAGUUUGUUACUGGUUUUUUGCGUGUUGAUUUCUGAUUCUUUACAGGUUUUCUGUUAUGUAUCGUGAGAGAGAAAUUGAAGAUGAUGAUUGGAGGUAGAAGUGGAAGGUACGAAAGUUGAAGAGUGUUGAAGAGAGAAUUGAUGGAUCCUGUUAUGGUUCAGUUACAGGCGCGAGUCUGAAUGUAAAGUGGAUGUGUGAACGCCAAUCUAUGAUAACUUGACCGUCAUGCUGCACUCGGAAUUAGAAUGGACCGAAUGGCUUUGUGCUAUGGUGCUGAACAUUUUAUUUGACUGUUCAGUUCUCAUGAGGUUGAAUGCUGAACUGGUUUUAUUCUAGAGCUGCGGGGAGUUUGGGCAUGGAUUGUAAUUUGAUGGGGCCAUAUGUCGCAGAGUGAUAUGUAUGUGUGUAUGCUGCAGGGGUGACCUCAAACAAAUGUAUGAUGGAGCAAGGGCUGCGGUUGAUACUCGGUGAAGUUGGGCUGAAUGUUUAACUUGGAGUAUUGCACUGCAUUUGCAAUGUACAGGUAGCCCGUGUAGGUAUACGAUGGCAAGGGGACAUAUUAUGAAGGCGCUCGUUGGCGGAGAUGAAUCACCAUAAUGAGGGAAUCUGAAUUCUCACGAUUGGAGGAUGGCCAAAAGGAAACGAGGAUAGGAUGGAGCAUGGUAACCUGACAUUGCAAAUUGGAUGGAGCAUGGGCAUGAGGAGCAAAGGUGAUGGGAAGUGAUGUAGUUGAAGACUUAGAGACAGUAGGCUUUUAGGACAUUUGUUGGCUUUGAAUGUAAAUUUUUGUAGUUUCUUUGAGAUGUAAUAUAUAAAUUUUUUGUAAUAUAAGAUAGUGUAUCUUGAGCUUGAAAUUGUGAAUGAUGUGGACUUUUGUAAUGGAUAGUUGUAUUUGGACUUGGAAUGUAUGAGCAUUGCUCUUGAAGUUGUAAUGAAACUUGAAAUACUAUGUAAUGUAAUUUGAAUUUGUAUCUUUGUAAUGAAUAUUUGAAUGGAUGUAUGAAUUGGAAUUUGAUAGUAUGUGAUUCAAACACUUGAAUGAUGAUUGGUGUUCACAUGAUUUAGGCUUGAAAUUCGGAUGAUAAU